This 97-nucleotide ribosomal RNA is filed under the name Camellia sinensis. RNAcentral describes it as "partial 5.8S ribosomal RNA". It matches the Rfam family "5.8S ribosomal RNA", at positions 63 to 154 of the family's 154-position model. From Rfam's summary of the family: 5.8S ribosomal RNA (5.8S rRNA) is a component of the large subunit of the eukaryotic ribosome. It is transcribed by RNA polymerase I as part of the 45S precursor that also contains 18S and 28S rRNA. Lineage: Eukaryota; Viridiplantae; Streptophyta; Magnoliopsida; Ericales; Theaceae. The record is from RNAcentral.
UGGUGUGAAUUGCAGAAUCCCGCGAACCAUCGAGUCUUUGAACGCAAGUUGCGCCCGAAGCCAUUAGGUUGAGGGCACGCCUGCCUGGGCGUCUCAC